Molecule: ribosomal RNA, 469 nt
Filed under: uncultured bacterium
Lineage: Bacteria
Description: partial 16S ribosomal RNA
Rfam family: Bacterial small subunit ribosomal RNA
Source: RNAcentral
GACGAACGCUGGCGGCGUGCUUAACACAUGCAAGUCGAACGGAAAGGCCCUGCUUGCCGGGUGCUCGAGUGGCGAACGGGUGAGUAACACGUGGGUGAUCUGCCCCUUAUUUUGGGAUAAGCCUGGGAAACUGGGUCUAAUACUGGAUAGGACCAUGCUGUAGGUGGUGUGGUGGAAAGAUUAGUUUCGGUAAGGGAUGAGCUCGCGGCCUAUCAGCUUGUUGGUGGGGUAAUGGCCUACCAAGGCGUCGACGGGUAGCCGGCCUGAGAGGGUGGACGGCCACAUUGGGACUGAGAUACGGCCCAGACUCCUACGGGAGGCAGCAGUGGGGAAUAGUGCACAAUGGGCGCACGCCUGAUGCAGCGACGCCGCGGGGGGGAUGACGGCCUUCGGGUUGUAAACUCCUUGCAGCCAUGACGAAGCCCUUGUGGUGACGGUAGUGGUAGAAGAAGCACCGGCUAACUACGUG